Long non-coding RNA from Lytechinus variegatus (green sea urchin), 5344 nucleotides. RefSeq lists it as uncharacterized. Lineage: Eukaryota; Metazoa; Echinodermata; Echinoidea; Temnopleuroida; Toxopneustidae. The transcript is spliced from 2 exons. The record is from RefSeq and is a predicted model, not a curated record.
AAUUGAGAGUCAUUCAACUCCUGGAAAAACAAUUCCUGAUGAGCAUAGGAAAAGGCCCGAUCGAAAGAGAACACAGCCGUUCUCAUUAACCAAGCAGGUUUGAUCUAAAAAAAGAUUGUUUUUCCUCUUCUUACUUUGUACUUCAGGAGAACAGCCACAUUCCCAGACAGCUAUCUGACAUCUAUGUCCCCCCCACUCACAUUUCCAAAUACACGCAGAGGCUCCACGGUCCUGUUUCCAUAAAUACUUGUUAUAUAAAUAACAAAAUCAGUUUCUAUAAACAAAUUCAGUAUCAGUACAUCAAAAUGAAUGAUUUCAGUAGCUAAUGUAUGAACCAUUAUUACACAUUUGCUAUUGUAACAAGUUUUAUGAAACAGGCACCAGGUCUGAAAACACUCAACCCCACACAUAAUCAUACAUAAUGUAGACAAAUUUUAAAUUUGAUCAUAGUUCACCAUUUAAAUUUUUUUCCAUGAAAACUUACAAUAAAUAUAAAGAUAUAUACAGAAAUAUCCAAGUUCUGGCAUUCGCCUGAAUUACAACCAGUAGAUAAAUGUGUUUGUGCGAUUUAUGAGCAGUGAUGGCAGUUUAAAUGAUUUUUAUACAUUAUUCUGACCACUGUGGUGUACACAACAACCUACAGUAACUUGCAGCAAUGAAAUAAUAUUUUGCCUUUCAUUUUUUGUUGUUUAUUUUAGUACUAUCAAACUGAAUUAAUUUCAUUCAAAUAAUAAUAGAGGAUAGUACAUACAUUACCUUGUCGAAAGAUAAACAUAUUACAAACAAUAAUAUGAGAAUAUAAGGACCUUUAGUUAGUUAUCAAAUAAAUUUGAUAUUGAGAUGCAUUAAUAAGAACUACCCUGUAGCUGUUUAUGUAAGUUAACCAGAGUGUAUAGUAUGUUACACGUGCACUAUGUAAAUCUGUAAUCUAUAAAACAUAUUUUAGUAGAAACUUUCAAUUCAUAAACCCACAUGUCAUUACCAAUAUCAUGAGUGAGUGCUUAAGAAAACAUAUAUGUAUAGCAUAAAAAGGAAUGUCAUAUAUGACAAUAACCAACCCUAUCCCCGUGAUCUUUCUUACCUGUAGACAUCAAAAAGAUAUUAAAUGAAUAAAGAUUAAAGAAUACAAAUAAGGAAAACAUCAACUAUCUCUCAUUUCAAUAUUGCACAAAAGCAAAUCAAAGACUCCUUUUCCACAACCACAGAACAGAAAUUGCUUCAUUAGCUGUGUUACAAAUUAAAAUAUACAUUUCUAAAAGUUCAUGAUGAUUUUGCUCUUGGUCAAUCAAAAUGCAAGAUUUAAGUUACUGAUAACUAGCUUUCAAUUUGCUAAUGGCACAUUUUGUCAAACAUGGCACAUAGUAUUUUAUGAAUGCAGCAAAUUUUAAGGUCAACAAAUAAACAAUUUCGAACUUGUAAAACUUGUACAGGCUACAUAACAUAUUCAAAAGGGUCAUACAAUUUACCCCACUGUAAAACACUAUAUUAACAAUAAAUUAGUGUUACUAAUUUCAUGUUGUAUUUCAUCUCUUCCAUUUUCAAAUUGCACAGGGUCUUUAGUCAAAUCCUGCCACCUUUAGACUUCAACCUUGUUAUUUGUAAAUACAGGACUAUAAUCAUCAUCAUCAUUCUACAGAUGAACUUUCCCUAAUCUAUAUUCAUGUACAUAGUACUCAAACUGGCAGCUUGUCAUAUAAAAUUAUGUAAGAGCAAUAGGAGUUGACUAAUAGAAGGAUGUAACUCACUUUUUUGGCCAUUUUGAGACUUUGGUACCAAAAUAAUCAGUAAGAAUUAUGCACAUUAUACAUGUACAGGUAAUAAUAUUUGUAGUUUUGCCAUAUCUAAUAAAGAUGACACUCGACACAUGAGAGAUUCUGAGAACGAUAACGCCUACAUUUCAAAUUUCUAUUGCUUAUAAAGCAAAAUGAGUACUGAAGGACAUCAUCAAUUUUCCAUUUUUGCAUGUCAUCGUUUUUUGAUUGAGCAUGAUGAAAAAUCCACAACCCAAAUUAGGUGGUAAUCGGUCCAUAGGGUUCCAAGAUAUGAUCAUGAAUAAGUAAUUAGCCCCAUUGAAGUCAAUGUAUUAUUGGGCUAGUUCUUGAACCAGGCACAUAUAAUACAUUGACUUUAACGGGACUAAUAUGUAUUCAUAAGGUCAUACAUGUAUCUUGGAGCCCCAUAGACCUAUUCCCACCAAUUUUGGGUUGUGGGUUUUUUUCAUCAUGCUCUACCAAAAUAUGGUAUCAAAAACAAGGAAAUACAAAAUAAAAAGUUAUUUUUGACGUCUUCACUCUCGGUACUCUAUAAUACACUGUACUUGACCACAUCUUAACCGAGAUUUGCUUGGUGGAAAAAUACAAUGCACUUUACUCAGAAUCACAAAGGUUUUUCAAAGUAAAGACCCAAACCCAAGGAGAUAAUCAAUCUGAGGAGAAAGAGUAAGAUGAGACAAUAAGUUGUUUUGUCAAAAUAGGUAUUAAAAUUAAAAGAGAGUUUAUCAAAGCUUGAUAAGACUUGUUGCAAUUUUUCUUCAGGGAUCCUCAAAUUGACAAACAUGAUUCAAAAUUGCUGAUUUUUGUAGACAACUCCCCUUCUGUUUAGUGCACGUAUUUCCAAAUAUUCACCAAAUGUUGUCUUCCAAAAGGCAUCUUUCCACCUUCAGAACACAACAAAUGUUAGGCAUGAGGAGGAGGUAAUCCGAAAUAUGGAAAAUCAAAUGCAAAAUUUGAAAAAUUUGUAUAUAGUUUUAAAACAAAUGGAGAGAUGGCUGUCCACAAUAUCAGCCAUUUUGAAGCAUGUGCACCAAUUUGAGGAUCCCUACAGAAAGAAAGUGUUUUCAAACUUCAAAAAGACUUCAAACUUCUAUAUUAAACUCUCUUCAUAUUUUACAACUGAUUUAUAUGAAAAUUGUUUUAAAUUGCUCCUCUCAUUUUACUCCGUCCUAUGAAAUUGAUUCUUUCCUUGGGUUUCCUUUUUCCCUUCUACUUGUCACACCUAAAUGAUUUCCUGACUCUAUUUUACUGUGAAGAAUUCUAGCCACUAAAAUGAGACAGUCGUGUGAUAAUUUACUGAAAAAACAUUUUUUGAAUUACUUUUCAACAAUUUAUGAUUGAAAGAAUUUAACAAAAUGGAAACAUGUACAUGGACAUGUAGGUCCUGUAGCUUAGAGAUGAAAAACAAAAUCACAAAUUUUCAUUCAGCACAAUUUGUUAACCUUUAAUAACAAAUACUUGAUAUUGUACCUAUUCCCAUUCCUAACAAAAUUAAUGAAUAAAGUGGGCUGAAGAGAAAACUUUAAGGAAGAAAUACAAAAAUAAUAAUCAAAUGAAUACAAUUAAAGUCCUCUCGAAUAAGAAUAAACACAUAGGGAAGGAAACUGAAUUGAGGUAUCAAAAAAGAUUAUCAAAAUCAAAAUUAUAAAAUUAUAAAGAAACCAAAGAAUACAAAAUGAUAAUCUUAAGUACUGUGCAAAAAAAGUGAGAAAAAACCUUGUCCUGAACCAUCAUUUUUCAUAAAGUCUACAUGAAUAUCUCUGCAAUUUAUUGACUUAAUCUAGGAGAUGUUUCCCUACAGUAUACAGAAAAUCAAUUCCAGACUCCAAAUAUAAAAUCUUAAGCCGAAAAGCCAAUAAUAAGCCAGUUCACGAUUGGCUCAUGAUCUACUAUUGAUUCUCAAUGACCUUUGCGACUUUUCAUUAGGAUGAGCACUAACAUUUUUAAAUGAGGAUGAUGUGUAAGCUUUCCCGGCAAAUUAUUCAAAUUCUAAGAAAGAAAGGCAUUUUGUAUACAUAAAGACCAGGUGACUAGAAUAGUAUAUGAGGGGUAAAGUUAGGAAAUCAAUAAGCCUAUUCACAGUUGUAAACUAAAUAGUAAACUGCUAUGCAAGCGGACACAAUACUAGCCUUGAAUAACUUGUACAUGAAAUUACUCAAUAGUAAAUGGUUAUUUCAUUUCCCAAAUCCAACCUAAAAAGUAAAAAGCUGUUUAAGUACUGCAAAAUCUAUCAAAAUCCCCCAAAUUAUAAAAUAAGACUCUAUAAAAGAAGACAACAGAGGCACAAUUAUACAUACAAGAAUGACCCCCCCCCCCCCCCCUCCCCUGUCUCUCUCUCUAUUUCUUAAAUUGGACAGUUGCAAAAACACAAUUUUUCAUAAAUGUAGAAAAAAAAAAUUCCUGGAUAAUUUCACUACAUAAACUUAAAUUAGAAAACAAUUCGAUACCUAAGUUACAAAAGAACCAUAUAAAUAAACUUCAAUAAGUUCAAUUAUAUACAUACAGUAUUCCCAUUUAUUGUACAAUUAAAAAUAUUGAAAGUCAGAUCAUCCCUACUGUUAUGCAUGUACAUGUACAUAUUACAGCUACAUCACUUCUCCUUCCAAACUGAUUUCAAAAACAAAUUUUACUUUAAUUAGCUCAUCACAUUCAACAUUUGUAAAGAAUAAUAUAAAAACUUAAUGGUUUACUGUUUGACAGGCAAAAUGGGUCUUGCUUAAUAUAAAUUCUAUAGAAAUACCAUUCUUAGUCAUUUUUGGUGUGAUUAUUGUACUGUUUGUCAUAUGUCCAAUAAUAAAAUAAAAAUAACUAUUGCUAAUCUAUUUUUGUUAUUCUUCACAUGUCUAUCAUAAGCUUUGAUCAGAUGUGGGUUCCUAGUUGGCGUAUAUGCAUGAAUUAAAUUUCCAAAGAUUAUCAUGACCAAGACAAAGGCCGUUUUGGUCGCCUGAAGCGUCCGAGAAAGCACAGUCGGAGAAAAGUUUGGAGUAGUGCCAGUCUGGACAGAGUUAAUCUGAUCUUCCUCCAACGAAGAUACUCCUCGAAACCAGUAGGAGUAUCUUGGUUGGAGGAAAGUUGGAGUCCAGCACUACUCUCACCUUUCAUUCGACUGGGCUUCCUCUAACCAAAACAGCCUUUGUCUUAGUCAAGAUAAGAGAAAUAUUUUUGGAAUUUUAAUCCAUGGAUGCAUGAUAGAAUCAUAUUGUAAAUUUACCCCCCAAAAUCCCUUUGCAUCCAGAAUUAUAGGCUGGAUGCUCAGUAUACAUGCCUUUGAAAUAUUUAACUACAUUGGCAAAGUUAGAUAAGGGUCAAAAUGGUCUCAUGAAACCACAAAAAUUUCUGCAUUUUCUACAAAUAGUAAGCUAAUUAAAGGCACUUACAUCUCCCCCUUACUGAAUAAAAAACGAAAUCAUAUAAAAGGAAGUAACAUUCAGUUCCAUAUAAAACAAAUAACAAAAAGCAUUAAAGAAAAGUGAAAUUUAGACAGUUUAGAGACAUAGAGAACAAUGUGACUUUUUAAAAAAGUCUGCAUGUUACAUGUAUGUGUAUGUCGAUGAAUGAAAAUUGAAUUCAAA